Long non-coding RNA from Ipomoea triloba (trilobed morning glory), 659 nucleotides. RefSeq lists it as uncharacterized. The record is from RefSeq and is a predicted model, not a curated record. Lineage: Eukaryota; Viridiplantae; Streptophyta; Magnoliopsida; Solanales; Convolvulaceae. The transcript has 2 exons.
AGAAGUUCAAAGCACAUCAGUCAACAAAGGCAGGCAGUGGGUUACACUUCCCACACCCCAAUCACUGAACUCAAGGAGAUCAAACACAUAUCACGCCAAAUUCCCAAAACCACUUUUAUCAUUACGCAUUUUUGGUGUUAAAAUGCAAUAAUUUUUUAUAUCCAACUUGUUGAUACAUUGCAUCCAACUUCUACUAUAAAUACUUGAUCAAUCGCCAUGCAGAAACUCACCCAGAUCAGAGCAUAACACAAUGGCAGUAGUCUUUAACAAGCAAAGUAGCAUCUCUGUGAUAGCACUAAUGGCGCUGGUGUUUGUAGCAGUACUAUGUUUGACUAUUGCCUGUGCUGAUGCAGCUAGGUUGCCCCAUGACCCCACGGUUUUUCCUCAAGCUGGGUGUCGCUGCUGUGAUUUCAUAUGGAAGCCAAUGAUCCACUGCGGACGAGUGUGUUGCGAAGAUGGAUGCUGCGGAUGAUGAUCGAUCGAUCCAUUUCAAGUUUCUUACAUCAAUCCUAUAUUGUUAUCAACUUUAUUUUACUUCCUAAUAAAUAAUUGUCGUAUCAAUUUUAUUUUACUUCAUAAUAAAUAAAUAAUUAUCAAAUGUUAUUGUUGAAUUGAGUAUCGAAUUUAUUCUAAUUAAUGUGAACUUAAAUAAUUGUCAA